RNAcentral lists this long non-coding RNA (1047 nucleotides) under Triticum aestivum (bread wheat). RNAcentral's name for it is "long non-coding RNA (TAES_LNC012458)". Lineage: Eukaryota; Viridiplantae; Streptophyta; Magnoliopsida; Poales; Poaceae. The record is from RNAcentral.
UGAUUUGUAUUUGUAGUCUACAAACAAGGCAUCCUAAUUAUUUGUUUGAACAUGCUACAGUCUUGUUUUCUCUGCCGUGUCUUCUCCUUUUCUUAAUAAUGUCACUGCCUUUGAUUUAUUUGCUCAGAUGUGCUAUUUUCUUAAUAACUUCCAUUAUUUCCUGCCCCAUAUAUACUGGUAUGUCCUUUAAAUAGUAGGCAGCAACAUGUGUGAUGGCUAUAACAUAACUCAAUGUUAGUUGGCUUAUAAUCUCUUAUCCCUUGAAAGACUUAGAAAAUGGCAUAUCAUGGGACAACAUAAGAGACCAUAUAGUAGAGGAAUAGAUUCAAGCAUGACAGGUCUUGGCCUCUCAACCUUUUCUGUUAUAUGUCAUGUUUCUAUUAAUUAGUUUGCUCGACAUGAUUCUGCCAAUGGACACUUUCAUUUUCUCUAACAGGCAGGAAUAAAAAUAUUUUUAAUGUGCAUAAAAAAUCAUAGCAGAGAUGUAAGUUGUGAUCCUAAAUUUUAACUUGAUGGUGCUGAAAUUACUUAAUUCUGGGUAGUGCAUGUCGAUAUGGCACUUGUGAAAAUUGAAGAUUUGGUACGGAGUCGCAAAAACUGCAAUACUCUUGGUAAUGCAGAUUUUUUUUGCAUGGUAACCUUUGUAAGUGACUAAUAUCCUGGCUAAAUCACUUCUUGCAUCAUGUCAAUGCAUUGUGUGUUAACAGUUCAUUUUGUUUUUCUUUGUAGAUUCAAAAGAUAAAUGGAUGAUUAUAUGGGUGUGUGUGGCAAGUGUACUACAAUGAUGACGAUGUUCCUGUUCAUGAUGAUGAAGACGGAUGCUUUUUAGUUUUAGUUCAAUUGUAGGGAUGAUGUUCCUGUGAACGAUGUUCCUCGAUUAUGUUUUAGUUAAGUUGUAGGGAUGUUGAUGGAUGUGCUCAAUUUAAGUUUCACUGUCAAGUAACAUUUAGAUUACACAUCCCAUUUAGAUUUGGAUGAUUUUCCUUGUGUAAUAUCCACCAUUGUAAUCCAACAGUUUUAUCUAAUAUAUGAUUUCUUCCUUUCAUG